Molecule: long non-coding RNA, 2610 nt
Filed under: Anas platyrhynchos platyrhynchos (common mallard)
Lineage: Eukaryota; Metazoa; Chordata; Aves; Anseriformes; Anatidae
Description: lncRNA (ENSAPLG00000018119.1)
Source: RNAcentral
CCUGAAAGAAGACGUGCAGAGAAGCAAGGGAAAAAUUCUUUUACUUUGCCUCCUCAUUGCUUCAGUUCCAUAACUUCAUGUCUGGUGAUCUAGACGGAGGCUUAUUCUUGCUUCAGGACAAAAGCAACUACAGGUCAAGACAUGACGGAAGUACUGUAAGGGAAGAAAAUUAGUCAUCAACUGUUUGUGCAGGGUUUCACUAGGAGGAGCCAUACCGUAUGUAAUGCUCAGAGCUGUUUGCAAUUACUGUACACCAGAUCUAGUUCCAGGGCAGCUUUUUUGCUAUUUAUCUUUUUAAUGAAGACUUUUCAAAUAGAUCAGAAGGCAAAUUUAACUCAAGUUACUGUGAUCCUUUGAUUUCUCAGUACGUUAUUUAUAAUUAUAGACUUCAUUCUGCCACCAAGAGGUCAGUAGCUAUAAUUACCACAUCCACACACACUUUAUGUAGGGCUGUAGUAUUUUGUUAAAAUAAAUAAAUAAAUAAAAUAAAAUAAAACUAUAUCUUCCUGUAAGUUUUGUACAACAAUAAUCACAACAGAUAUGAUUCUGCCUUGCACUUAAACUGCAGGAGAAGUAGUAGGCAAUAAAGACGUUGAGGAAUCAGGAGUAGGAGCAGGACAUUAUUUGAUUUCUGCAGUUGUUCAUCCCUAGGGAGAGCACAACCGUUAAAGGACUGAGAAUGGCACAGAGCCACCUCAGUCCAGGUUGGAAAACACAGGAGAAGAAAAGGAGUGAGUAAUGAGUCAGACUCCCUUUGGGAGCUGCCCAGGGUUCCUGUCAUUGCCGUGUUCCUUCAGGAAGCUCAGAGGUCCCUGUGGGCUUGUGGAGAAGAUGGUUAUGGAUCAGCCUCCAGUUCUGGACUGAUGCAUGCCCCAGAGGAGUAUCUGGCUUGGCAGACUCUUGCAGUCGUAUCUGUUCUGAACUCGUCAGAGGUAGCUCAAAAAGAAAUCCAUGAGGUGGCCCCAACUCUCUGUCCUCUCCUUCAAACCCCUGUUGAAAGACCAUUAAAAAGCUACAUGACACUGAAGCACAGCAUCGGCAUUAAGAACACUGCACGUAUAAGCAUUUAUCCAGCCAGAGAAAAGUAACAUUAACCUGACAGACUGCCUCCAGAAAUAGAGGAAUAUACGUAUGGGAAAGAAAUGCUUCAUUUUUGAUGGUAAAAAUGUAAGUGGACCCUCCUGAAGGGAUGUAAUUAAAAAAUGUAGCAGGAGUAGGGAGGGGAAACAUGGAUGAUGAAAGGCAGUUUUAUCCCAGUAGAAGGCUUCCUUCUUCAGCAUUUAUGGGGAGGCUCUGUAGCUGCAGGGAGACUAAAGCAGAAGAGGGUAAUGAGAGAGACAUGAAGACUGGGUAUUAAAUGUGAGAAGAGAGCAGCUGGAUGUGGAAAUGAGGAUAAGGCUUUGAACUGAGCACGUGGGCAAAAGACUGAAGCUAAUCAGCUGCAUUCAGGAGGUGGAGAGCUAGGCUGGGGGACCUAAGGGGGACUGUGACAAGAAAUGCAGACACGAGAGACCAAUGCUUUCAGGUAAGAGGCUGGUAGAGAAAAGGGAAGAUUGGUGACUGGAACUGGCUGGGAAAAUAGAAUGGCAGUUGUCUGAGAGAGAAAGCAGUGCUGGAGAAUAAGGAUACAGAGAUGUAGAAGGAACAGAAAUGGGACAGGUGUGGUUUGAGGUGUGUAAGACAGACUUGGUGUGGAAAAACAUCUGUAAGAGACUGCAGCCGCUUCCCUAGCCAUUCCAGAUAACAAGGCCCCUGUGUCAGGGCACUGCUCCGAUGUCAUCCCACAGCAAAAGUGGCCUCUGGUCCACAGAGGAGUUGGCAACUUUGCAUUGCUAUAAAUUGCCCCAUCAUCUCAGAGGGUAUGAUAAAUGCAUAUGGAGAAGCUAAAAGCUAACCUCACUAGUGUGAGGCAUAGAGGUGUUAAUAUGAUGCCACAUAAUAGAUUUUUUUUUUCCACUUUGCUUCAUUAAGAACCUAGGAAAUUACCUACAAACACUCUGUUAAAAGAACUCUGUGAGCUGCCAAAACAAACACUCAGAAGUUGGAAAGUGCCAGAGCUGAAGCUGUGUAGCUUUUUCCCCAUUUGCACAUAUUCAUAGGCAACACAUCUUUAUUUGCAGGAAAAGGUACUCUUCUCCCACAGAAACUGUGUCAGUCUGUGCUCAGCCCUGGGUUCUGUCAAGAUGAUUCAGGAUUGUGUAAGAGGUGCCAUAGUCUACCCACACUAUCUAUCCAUUUGCUGUAGGUUCAAUAAGGCUUUUUGAAUACGUUUGAUUAGGGCAAAUCAGUGGGGUAUAUCUUGCUUAAAGCUGUUGAAUACUAAUCUGAAGAACUAGAUACAACCCUGCCUGACUGUGCCACAAAUCUCUUCUACUCCAAUAAUAAGUUCUUACACCAAGUUUUGCACACAUGGUGACUAAUUGCACGUUCCCAGUUACGUGGAUACCUGGCUUAAGACUCCAGGGCCUGAUCUGGAGAAGUGCUGAGCACUCGCAGCUGCAGCAGAACUCAAUGGGAUCUCUGCUCUGAAUAUCUAAAGAAUUACAUAAUGGUAAGUACCCUGACAAAUUAGAACCUGGAGUCUUAAAUAAAGCACCCCAAAUCACUGCA